RNAcentral lists this small nuclear RNA (301 nucleotides) under Myotis davidii. RNAcentral's name for it is "7SK RNA". It matches the Rfam family "7SK RNA". Rfam says of the family: 7SK was discovered as an abundant small nuclear RNA in the mid-70s but a possible function has only recently been suggested. Two independent studies have found that 7SK RNA binds the CDK9/cyclin T complex (known as elongation factor P-TEFb). The record is from Rfam by way of RNAcentral. Lineage: Eukaryota; Metazoa; Chordata; Mammalia; Chiroptera; Vespertilionidae.
GGAUGUGAGGGCGAUCUGGCUGUGACAUCUGUAUCCCCAUUGAUUUCACAUCGGUCACCCCAUUGAUCACCAGGGUUGAUUCUACUGAUCUGGCUGGGUGGGUGUCCCCCUCCUCCCUCACCAAUCCAGGUGUGCCCUUCCUGAGGCUGUGGCUAGAUCAAAGAGGAGAACUUUCCCUUAGAGAAGAGGAGCAGUCUUCAGUCAAGGGUAUAUGAGUAGCUGCGCUCCCCUGCUAGAACCUCCAAGCAAGUUCUCUCAAAAUGUAACUCACUUGCCAAUUCUCACUCACAACCAUUACAAU